CUCAUGGUGACCCGGACUUUAAUUCUGUUUGCAAGUUGGAACGCCAAGUCGGUCUUAGCUAGAUGAUGUCAUGCGUGCCCUCCAAGCCCAUACCCCUUCCUGGCCGACUCCACUGGACGCUGCGUUCCACAUCAUGACGUAGGAGGUACCGACAACUGUGCAGACCACGUAGAGAUUAUGGCUGCUGAAUGCUCCAAGG
Long non-coding RNA from Ixodes scapularis (black-legged tick), 199 nucleotides. RefSeq lists it as uncharacterized. NCBI's taxonomy places the organism in Eukaryota, Metazoa, Arthropoda, Arachnida, Ixodida, Ixodidae. The transcript is spliced from 3 exons. The record is from RefSeq and is a predicted model, not a curated record.